GGGUUGUGAGGUUAAGCGACUAAGCGUACACGGUGGAUGCCCUGGCAGUCAGAGGCGAUGAAGGACGUGCUAAUCUGCGAUAAGCGUCGGUAAGGUGAUAUGAACCGUUAUAACCGGCGAUUUCCGAAUGGGGAAACCCAGUGUGUUUCGACACACUAUCAUUAACUGAAUCCAUAGGUUAAUGAGGCGAACCGGGGGAACUGAAACAUCUAAGUACCCCGAGGAAAAGAAAUCAACCGAGAUUCCCCCAGUAGCGGCGAGCGAACGGGGAGGAGCCCAGAGCCUGAAUCAGUGUGUGUGUUAGUGGAAGCGUCUGGAAAGGCGCGCGAUACAGGGUGACAGCCCCGUACACAAAAAUGCACAUGCUGUGAGCUCGAUGAGUAGGGCGGGACACGUGGUAUCCUGUCUGAAUAUGGGGGGACCAUCCUCCAAGGCUAAAUACUCCUGACUGACCGAUAGUGAACCAGUACCGUGAGGGAAAGGCGAAAAGAACCCCGGCGAGGGGAGUGAAAAAGAACCUGAAACCGUGUACGUACAAGCAGUGGGAGCACGCUUAGGCGUGUGACUGCGUACCUUUUGUAUAAUGGGUCAGCGACUUAUAUUCUGUAGCAAGGUUAACCGAAUAGGGGAGCCGAAGGGAAACCGAGUCUUAACUGGGCGUUAAGUUGCAGGGUAUAGACCCGAAACCCGGUGAUCUAGCCAUGGGCAGGUUGAAGGUUGGGUAACACUAACUGGAGGACCGAACCGACUAAUGUUGAAAAAUUAGCGGAUGACUUGUGGCUGGGGGUGAAAGGCCAAUCAAACCGGGAGAUAGCUGGUUCUCCCCGAAAGCUAUUUAGGUAGCGCCUCGUGAAUUCAUCUCCGGGGGUAGAGCACUGUUUCGGCAAGGGGGUCAUCCCGACUUACCAACCCGAUGCAAACUGCGAAUACCGGAGAAUGUUAUCACGGGAGACACACGGCGGGUGCUAACGUCCGUCGUGAAGAGGGAAACAACCCAGACCGCCAGCUAAGGUCCCAAAGUCAUGGUUAAGUGGGAAACGAUGUGGGAAGGCCCAGACAGCCAGGAUGUUGGCUUAGAAGCAGCCAUCAUUUAAAGAAAGCGUAAUAGCUCACUGGUCGAGUCGGCCUGCGCGGAAGAUGUAACGGGGCUAAACCAUGCACCGAAGCUGCGGCAGCGACGCUGAUGCGUUGUUGGGUAGGGGAGCGUUCUGUAAGCCUGCGAAGGUGUGCUGUGAGGCAUGCUGGAGGUAUCAGAAGUGCGAAUGCUGACAUAAGUAACGAUAAAGCGGGUGAAAAGCCCGCUCGCCGGAAGACCAAGGGUUCCUGUCCAACGUUAAUCGGGGCAGGGUGAGUCGACCCCUAAGGUGAGGCCGAAAGGCGUAGUCGAUGGGAAACAGGUUAAUAUUCCUGUACUUGGUGUUACUGCGAAGGGGGGACGGAGAAGGCUAUGUUGGCCGGGCGACGGUUGUCCCGGUUUAAGCGUGUAGGCUGGUUUUCCAGGCAAAUCCGGAAAAUCAAGGCUGAGGCGUGAUGACGAGGCACUACGGUGCUGAAGCAACAAAUGCCCUGCUUCCAGGAAAAGCCUCUAAGCAUCAGGUAACAUCAAAUCGUACCCCAAACCGACACAGGUGGUCAGGUAGAGAAUACCAAGGCGCUUGAGAGAACUCGGGUGAAGGAACUAGGCAAAAUGGUGCCGUAACUUCGGGAGAAGGCACGCUGAUAUGUAGGUGAAGUCCCUUGCGGAUGGAGCUGAAAUCAGUCGAAGAUACCAGCUGGCUGCAACUGUUUAUUAAAAACACAGCACUGUGCAAACACGAAAGUGGACGUAUACGGUGUGACGCCUGCCCGGUGCCGGAAGGUUAAUUGAUGGGGUCAGCGCAAGCGAAGCUCUUGAUCGAAGCCCCGGUAAACGGCGGCCGUAACUAUAACGGUCCUAAGGUAGCGAAAUUCCUUGUCGGGUAAGUUCCGACCUGCACGAAUGGCGUAAUGAUGGCCAGGCUGUCUCCACCCGAGACUCAGUGAAAUUGAACUCGCUGUGAAGAUGCAGUGUACCCGCGGCAAGACGGAAAGACCCCGUGAACCUUUACUAUAGCUUGACACUGAACAUUGAGCCUUGAUGUGUAGGAUAGGUGGGAGGCUUUGAAGUGUGGACGCCAGUCUGCAUGGAGCCGACCUUGAAAUACCACCCUUUAAUGUUUGAUGUUCUAACGUUGACCCGUAAUCCGGGUUGCGGACAGUGUCUGGUGGGUAGUUUGACUGGGGCGGUCUCCUCCUAAAGAGUAACGGAGGAGCACGAAGGUUGGCUAAUCCUGGUCGGACAUCAGGAGGUUAGUGCAAUGGCAUAAGCCAGCUUGACUGCGAGCGUGACGGCGCGAGCAGGUGCGAAAGCAGGUCAUAGUGAUCCGGUGGUUCUGAAUGGAAGGGCCAUCGCUCAACGGAUAAAAGGUACUCCGGGGAUAACAGGCUGAUACCGCCCAAGAGUUCAUAUCGACGGCGGUGUUUGGCACCUCGAUGUCGGCUCAUCACAUCCUGGGGCUGAAGUAGGUCCCAAGGGUAUGGCUGUUCGCCAUUUAAAGUGGUACGCGAGCUGGGUUUAGAACGUCGUGAGACAGUUCGGUCCCUAUCUGCCGUGGGCGCUGGAGAACUGAGGGGGGCUGCUCCUAGUACGAGAGGACCGGAGUGGACGCAUCACUGGUGUUCGGGUUGUCAUGCCAAUGGCACUGCCCGGUAGCUAAAUGCGGAAGAGAUAAGUGCUGAAAGCAUCUAAGCACGAAACUUGCCCCGAGAUGAGUUCUCCCUGACUCCUUGAGAGUCCUGAAGGAACGUUGAAGACGACGACGUUGAUAGGCCGGGUGUGUAAGCGCAGCGAUGCGUUGAGCUAACCGGUACUAAUGAACCGUGAGGCUUAACCUUACAACGCCGAAGGUGUUU
This 2931-nucleotide ribosomal RNA is filed under the name Escherichia coli. RNAcentral's name for it is "bacterial LSU rRNA". It matches the Rfam family "Bacterial large subunit ribosomal RNA". The record is from RNAcentral. Lineage: Bacteria; Pseudomonadati; Pseudomonadota; Gammaproteobacteria; Enterobacterales; Enterobacteriaceae.